AAACUAACCGUUAACUAUUAAAUCCCUGUGUUGAAACGCUAGCCUUAGACGUCACGAAGCUUCCCACAAAAUAUCGUUCCGAUCGGAAAACAGACGAGACCACGAUCCCAGUUUCAAUCCAUGCUGGUCCUAAUUCGCGUCUGAGAAAACGUGUCUCACUAAACAGCAAAUAACUCAACCAAUAUUUAUCCAAAUCCAGUUCUGUAAACUGGAGAAUAACGAUAAACGACUUGGGAAUAACUCUACCAAAUUUCGUUACUUUUUACCACGAUUUGAUAUGACGAAACUGAAUUCUUCCAAACCAUAACGAUUCUGCUCCUUCUCUUUCUCUAUCUUUUUCUCCUUUAUAAAACGAAAAGUGGCUAACUAAAUCCCUAAGUUCGAGUUUUCCUUCUUUUAUAGGCACACUCUAGGGUUUCCAAUUAACCCAACCAAUUUAACCGGAUGAUUUAAAAACAAACUCUAACCGAUUUUCCGGUUCACGGGCGUUACACCUAGCAAAGGGCAAUCUACUAAACCAUAUGAAUCCCUAAUGAGAAACUCUAUUCCUAACAAGCAGACUUCUCAGACAUAUUGGAUGAAGCAAACAACAUGAUUAAGUGUGAAAGCAUAAACACAGUAAAUAGAGAAGGGGAAAUAAGGGAUCUCUUCAUUGUAUUAAAAAUUGGAAUGAAUCUCUCAAGAACAAUGGAUGAAUAGCUUAUGUCUCUCACAAUAGGGUUUGAAAAGAACUUGAUAAAAGAAACUUAAGUCUAAAAACAAUAUGUAUAGACCCUAAAAACGUCCAGUGACUAAUAAUGCAAAUAGGGAAGUCUCCUGGGGCAAACUUGACCUUCUGUAAACUCGAUAGCGUCUAGGGUUUUUGCUGGACCGAAACUGGUGUCGAUCGACACCAUGAGUGUGUCGAUCGACACUCCUCGCUGAUUCCUGGACCAAAAUCGUCCUUAGCUUCAUUUUCCUUAGCUUUUGCUCCAAAAUGUCUCCUUAUCUCCAUUGUUGUCCCACUGCAUAGAAUACCUGAAAAGACACUAAAAAGACUCGAGAAAUAACAUAAAAACUCAAAAUCCUAUACCUAAAACAUAGAUAAAAUCGGUGAAAAUCGGGUUAUAUCAACUCCCCCAGACUUAGCUUUUGCUUACCCUCAAGCAAAACAGAAAAGCCGAAUCCGUGGAAGAGGUUUUGAAAACAAAGGAACUCCCAACAUGUACUUCUCUACAAGCUUACACAAUAUUCUAGAUUCCAUACCUAAGUUCCACAACUAUACCCACCAGGCUUUCAUCGUCGGGUCUCAUCAAACAAGCCAACAUUCAAGAUCCUUCUAGACUCAUUCAUGUACUAUACCAUGAUAAAUUGACCAUUCUUUAUAUUUUUUUUUUCUUUUUCGGUGUUCUUUCUCUCCCCCAGACUUAUUCUUUUUAGAGAGUAAGCAAAGGGGAACUCGCAUACUGGAUCAACACCCUCGGCAUUUUCCAACCUUUGUAAUUGAUCAUUCCAAAUAAUGUAUAAUAAUGGGGUCAUAGAAAACAUUCCUACCCCUAUACACUAUCUCAAAGUUGUCUCAAUCUCUCAUUAUUACUAUU
This 1580-nucleotide small RNA is filed under the name Arabidopsis thaliana (thale cress). Its description in RNAcentral is "ATSL030470". The record is from RNAcentral. Lineage: Eukaryota; Viridiplantae; Streptophyta; Magnoliopsida; Brassicales; Brassicaceae.